AUUAACCUGACAGUUCAACUCUGAUUUUACAGCUGGAGAUUUCAUGUGUGGCUGUGAAUCUCCUAAAAAUCACCCCUGCUGCUGUCGUGCAGCUGGCCUGCGUUAGCAUCUGUGCAUCCGCGGGUUCAGAAGGGGCAGAGAUGCUGACUGUCCUCUCUUCUCUGCCUGGUCCUCGGUGGGGCCUCUGGCACCUGCUUCAUAUCAGGACAACUGAUACCUGAAGGAGACGAAGAGGUCACUGGAAAAUGCACACAAGCGACACAAGUGACCAUGAAAUAGAUCCGUGCUGAGCUGCUCAAUAAUGGACCUGAACUCUGAAGUACACCAGCGUCUUGACAAACUGCAGCAGCAGAGGAUGAUGGCACCCUCAGGGGCUUGUUCCUGCCAGCGGUCGCUCCACACCCCCCCACUGACUCACUGUGAUGAUCUGCUGGAGCUCACAGAGGAGAGAUGCUUCAUCUGAGCGAUCCUGUCGAAGAACAACAGACGUCCAGCUGAGGCAGCAGGAGAGCGGCGGUGGAGCUGCAGCGCCACGUCAGACCUGCUCCUUUACAUCCCAGACACCCUUACUCUGUCAGUUAGUCAUCCUGGAUGGUUUCUUUUUUUUACUCCAUUUGCUUAAGCGUUUUCAUCAAAUCUUUGUGAGUCAUUCAUGAGAGUGCUGCAUUUGUCUGAUCAGAAAAGAAGCUUUUCCAACAACACUGACCUGAAUUCACCGUUUAAGCUGGUUUGUGUAAAAACUACCAACAUUCUGCCAAUAAUAAGAGUUCAAUUUCUCCAGAAAUACUCCAUGUCUUAUAUGAGUAAACACAAAAUAAAGGUUUGUUGUACUUAAAAAUGAAAGUUGUUGAAGGAAAGCAUGAUUUGCUAAAAAAUUAAGUUAUUUAGCACCAGAAAGUUAAGAACAACAGACAGUUUACUCCCAAUUCCUACAGUAAU
Molecule: long non-coding RNA, 939 nt
Organism: Oryzias melastigma (Indian medaka)
Lineage: Eukaryota; Metazoa; Chordata; Actinopteri; Beloniformes; Adrianichthyidae
Exons: 3
Source: RefSeq, a predicted model, not a curated record